This 465-nucleotide ribosomal RNA is filed under the name uncultured bacterium. RNAcentral's name for it is "partial 16S ribosomal RNA". It matches the Rfam family "Bacterial small subunit ribosomal RNA", at positions 28 to 507 of the family's 1533-position model. The record is from RNAcentral.
GACGAACGCUGGCGGCGUGCUUAACACAUGCAAGUCGAACGGAAAGGCCCCUUCGGGGGUACUCGAGUGGCGAACAGGUGAGUAACACGUGAGUAACCUGCCCUUGACUUCGGGAUAACUUCAGGAAACUGGGGCUAAUACCGGAUAGGAAUCCUUGCUGCAUGGUGGGGGUUGGAAAGCUUCGGCGGUUUUGGAUGGACUCGCGGCUUAUCAGCUUGUUGGUGGGGUAGUGGCUUACCAAGGCUUUGACGGGUAGCCGGCCUGAGAGGGCGACCGGCCACAUUGGGACUGAGAGACGGCCCAGACGCCGACGGGAGGCAGCAGUGGGGAAGAUUGCACAAUGGGCGGAAGCCGGAUGCAGCAACGCCGCGUGCGGGAUGACGGCCUUCGGGUUGUAAACCGCUUUCAGCAGGGGCGAAGCUUGUGGUGACGGUACCUGCAGAAGAAGCACCGGCUAACUACGUG